This 477-nucleotide ribosomal RNA is filed under the name uncultured bacterium. RNAcentral's name for it is "bacterial SSU rRNA". It matches the Rfam family "Bacterial small subunit ribosomal RNA", at positions 47 to 507 of the family's 1533-position model. The record is from RNAcentral.
CUUAAUACAUGCAAGUCGAACGAAUGGAUGUCUAGCUUGCUAGACUGAAGUUAGUGGCGAACGGGUGAGUAAUACAUAGGCAAUCUGCCCUGAAGUGUGGGAUAGCUAUUGGAAACGAUAAUUAAUACCGCAUAGGUAGUAAGAAGGCAUCUUCCUACUAUUAAAGAUGCGUUUGCAUCGCUGCAGGAUGAGCUUAUGGUGUAUUAGCUAGUUGGUGAGAUAAAAGCCCACCAAGGCUAUGAUACAUAGCUGGUCUGAGAGGAUGAACAGCCACAUUGGGACUGAGACACGGCCCAGACUCCUACGGGAGGCAGCAGUAAGGAAUUUUCGGCAAUGGGGGCAACCCUGACCGAGCAACGCCGCGUGAGUGAUGAAGGUCUUCGGAUCGUAAAACUCUGUUGUAAAGGAAGAAUGUCAUAUAUAGGAAAUGAUAUAUGAGUGACGGUACUUUACUAGAAAGUCACGGCUUACUACGUG